This 776-nucleotide ribosomal RNA is filed under the name uncultured Neocallimastigales. Its description in RNAcentral is "partial large subunit ribosomal RNA". It matches the Rfam family "Eukaryotic large subunit ribosomal RNA", at positions 24 to 644 of the family's 3401-position model. Lineage: Eukaryota; Fungi; Neocallimastigomycota; Neocallimastigomycetes; Neocallimastigales. The record is from RNAcentral.
UAUGUGAUCGUCUCUCGCAUAUCAAUAAGCGGAGGAAAAGAAACUAACAAGGAUUCCCCUAGUAACGGCGAGUGAAGCGGGAAGAGCUCAAAUUUGAAAUCUUAAAGGGUUUCCCUUUACGAAUUGUAGUUUAAAGAAGUGUUUUCUGUUGAGGUUUUGGUAAAAGUUCUUUGGAAUAGGACAUCAUAGAGGGUGAGAAUCCCGUAUUUGACCUUUACUUUCAACUUUGUGAUACACUUUCAAAGAGUCGGAUUGUUUGGGAAUGCAGUCCAAAAUGGGUGGUAAAUUUCAUCUAAAGCUAAAUAUUGGCGAGAGACCGAUAGCGAACAAGUACCGUGAGGGAAAGAUGAAAAGAACUUUGAAAAGAGAGUUAAACAGUACGUGAAAUUGUCAAAAGGGAAGCGUUUGACACCAGUGUUGUUUUUCUGAAAAUCAAUUAAAGAACUGUUUAUGCUAAGCUUGUUUAGACUUUAUCAGCUAUCUGCUUUAGUUUUGAGCUUUUCUUUAAUGCACUUUUCAGUUAACAAGUCAACAUCAAUUUCUUUUGCUGUAAAAAAGCUUGAGGAAGGUGGCUUGAGAUUCGUCUUAAGUGUUUAUAGCCUCUUGCCUAUGCAGUCGGAGAGAUUGAGGUCUGCAGCGUAGAUCCUUCGGGGCUAAGUGCAUUUGUGCUAAGUUAUAGCAUUUUAUAGACAACUUGUUGACUAUGAUUUGUCUUGUAGCUUACUCGCUUAUGUUAUUUUACCUACGCUUAGGAUGUUGAAGAUAUGCGCGACACG